AGUAACUGCGAGUGAAGCGGGAAAAGCUCAAAUUUAAAAUCUGGCGGCCUCUGGUCGUCCGAGUUGUAAUUUAGAGAAGCGUCUUCCGCGCUGGACCGUGCACAAGUCUCCUGGAAUGGAGCGUCAUAGAGGGUGAGAAUCCCGUCUUUGGCACGGAUGCACCAGGGCUUUUGUGAUGCGCUCUCGAAGAGUCGAGUUGUUUGGGAAUGCAGCUCAAAAUGGGUGGUGAACUCCAUCUAAAGCUAAAUAUUGGCGAGAGACCGAUAGCGAACAAGUACCGUGAGGGAAAGAUGAAAAGCACUUUGGAAAGAGAGUGAAACAGUACGUGAAAUUGUUGAAAGGGAAACGCUUGAAGUCAGUCGCGUCGACCGAGACUCAGCCUUGCCUUGGCUCGGUGUAYUUCUCGGUCGACGGGUCAGCAUCAAUUUUGCCCCUCGGAUAAUGGCGAGAGAAAGGUGGCACCCUCACCGGUGUGUUAUAGUCUCCCGUCGGAUGCGAGGGUCGGG
Molecule: ribosomal RNA, 506 nt
Filed under: Russula nigricans
Lineage: Eukaryota; Fungi; Basidiomycota; Agaricomycetes; Russulales; Russulaceae
Description: eukaryotic LSU rRNA
Rfam family: Eukaryotic large subunit ribosomal RNA
Source: RNAcentral